This 305-nucleotide ribosomal RNA is filed under the name uncultured bacterium. RNAcentral describes it as "bacterial SSU rRNA". It matches the Rfam family "Bacterial small subunit ribosomal RNA", at positions 335 to 637 of the family's 1533-position model. The record is from RNAcentral.
AUGCCUACGGGGGGCAGCAGUGAGGAAUAUUGGUCAAUGGGCGGGAGCCUGAACCAGCCAAGUCGCGUGAGGGACGACGGUCCUAUGGAUUGUAAACCUCUUUUGUCGGGGAACAAAGGCGCCCACGGGUGGGCGGAUGAGUGUACCCGAAGAAAAAGCAUCGGCUAACUACGUGCCAGCAGCCGCGGUAAUACGUAGGUGGCAAGCGUUAUCCGGAUUUAUUGGGUGUAAAGGGCGUGUAGGCGGGAGCGCAAGUCAGAUGUGAAAACUCAGGGCUCAACCCUGAGCCUGCAUUUGAAACUGUG